AAACUGAGAAUAAUACUCCAUAGGUCUAGGAUGCUGGAAUGCACUUAGUCUGAAAACUCCGGUGCCUAAGGAUGAAUCUGCGGACUAUCAGGUUGUAGUCAGGGUAAUGACCUGACUAGCCUAUGACGGAUAUGGGUUGUGGGAGCAAUAACCCAGAGAUGAUAUCUGAGACACGAUAUCAGGCCCUACGGGGCGCAGCAGGCGCGAAAACUUCGCAAUGUGCGAAAGCACGACGAGGGAAUCCCAAGUGCUUGCACGUAAGUGUAAGCUGUUUCUCUGUUUAAAACGCAGAGAGAGUAAGGGCUGGGUAAGACGGGUGCCAGCCGCCGCGGUAAUACCUGCAGCUCAAGUGGUGGCCGUUAUUAUUGGGCCUAAAACGUCCGUAGCCGGUUUAUUAAAUGCCUGGGUAAAUCGGACCGCUUAACGGUUCGAAUUCCGGGUAGACUGAUAAACUUGAGACCGGGAGAAGUUAGAGGUACUCCUGGGGUAGAGGUGAAAUUCUGUAAUCCUAGGGGGACCACCAGUGGCGAAAGCGUCUAACUAGAACGGGUCUGACGGUGAGGGACGAAGCCCUGGGGCGCAAACGGGAUUAGAUACCCCGGUAGUCCAGGGUGUAAACGCUGCUUGCUUGAUGUUAGUCGGGCU
Molecule: ribosomal RNA, 645 nt
Filed under: uncultured archaeon
Lineage: Archaea
Description: bacterial SSU rRNA
Rfam family: Archaeal small subunit ribosomal RNA
Source: RNAcentral